AGCUCCAAUAGCGUAUAUUAAAGUUGCUGCAGUUAAAAAGCUCGUAGUUGGAUUUGUGGGAUGGCCGUCCGGCGGGGGGCCAUUUAUUGGUCCCGUUUGUCCUGGUUUUCGGCCUUCCCUUUCUCGGGUCUAGCGUAUUGGCUGGCAUUAGGUUGUCGGCCGCUUCGCGCCCGUCGUUUACUUUGAAGAAAUUAGAGUGUUCCAGGCAGGCUUUGCUUGAAUACAUCAGCAUGGAAUAAUGGAAUAGGACAGGUCAAUUUUAUUGGUUAUUUGGCUUGUAAUGAUUAACAGGGACAGUUGGGGGCGUUUGUAUUCAAUAGUCAGAGGUGAAAUUCUUGGAUUUGUUGAAGACAAACUAAUGCGAAAGCAUUCGCCAAGGAUGUUUUCAUUAAUCAAGAAC
Molecule: ribosomal RNA, 400 nt
Filed under: phytoplankton environmental sample
Lineage: Eukaryota
Description: partial small subunit ribosomal RNA
Rfam family: Eukaryotic small subunit ribosomal RNA
Source: RNAcentral